RNAcentral lists this ribosomal RNA (301 nucleotides) under uncultured bacterium. Its description in RNAcentral is "partial 16S ribosomal RNA". It matches the Rfam family "Bacterial small subunit ribosomal RNA", at positions 509 to 809 of the family's 1533-position model. The record is from RNAcentral.
CAGUAGCCGCGGGAAUACGGAGGGGGCUAGCGUUGUUCGGAAUUACUGGGCGUAAAGCGCACGUAGGCGGCUUUGUAAGUUAGAGGUGAAAGCCUGGGGCUCAACUCCAGGAUUGCCUUUAAGACUGCAUCGCUUGAACGUCGGAGAGGUGAGUGGAAUUCCGAGUGUAGAGGUGAAAUUCGUAGAUAUUCGGAGGAACACCAGUGGCGAAGGCGGCUCACUGGCUCGAUACUGACGCUGAGGUGCGAAAGCGUGGGGAGCAAACAGGAUUAGAUACCCCUGUAGUCCUGUCUCUUAUACA